This 496-nucleotide ribosomal RNA is filed under the name uncultured bacterium. RNAcentral describes it as "partial 16S ribosomal RNA". It matches the Rfam family "Bacterial small subunit ribosomal RNA", at positions 28 to 507 of the family's 1533-position model. The record is from RNAcentral.
GAUGAACGCUGGCGGCGUGCCUAAUACAUGCAAGUCGAGCGAACGGACGAGAAGCUUGCUUCUCUGAUGUUGGCGGCGGACGGGUGAGUAACACGUGGAUAACCUACCUAUAAGACUGGGAUAACUUCGGGAAACCGGAGCUAAUACCGGAUAAUAUUUUGAACCGCAUGGUUCAAAAGUGAAAGACGGUCUUGCUGUCACUUGUAGAUGGAUCCGCGCUGCAUUAGCUAGUUGGUAAGGUAACGGCUUACCAAGGCAACGAUGCAUAGCCGACCUGAGAGGGGGAUCGGCCACCCUGAAACGGAGACACGGCCCAGACCCCUAGGGAAGGCGGCGGUGGGGAAUUUUCGCAAUGGGCGAAAGCCUGACGGAGCAACGCCGCGUGAGUGAUGAAGGUCUUCGGAUCGUAAAACUCUGUUAUUAGGGAAGAACAUAUGUGUAAGUAACUGUGCACAUCUUGACGGUACCUAAUCAAAAAGCCACGGCUAACUACGUG